GAAGUCUGACGGAGCACGCCGCGUGAGUGUGAGGCUUUCGGGUCGUAGAACACCGUUUUAAGUUAAGAAGAAGGUUGUAGAUUAAUACUCUGCCUUUUGACGUUACCGACAGAAAAACACCGGCUAACUCUGUGCCAGCAGCCGCGGUAAUACAGAGGGUGCAAGCGUUAAUCGGAAUUACUGGGCGUAAAGCGCGCGUAGGUGGUUCGUUAAGUUGGAUGUGAAAUCCCCGGGCUCAACCUGGGA
RNAcentral lists this ribosomal RNA (246 nucleotides) under Pseudomonas mucidolens. Its description in RNAcentral is "partial 16S ribosomal RNA". It matches the Rfam family "Bacterial small subunit ribosomal RNA", at positions 378 to 619 of the family's 1533-position model. Lineage: Bacteria; Pseudomonadati; Pseudomonadota; Gammaproteobacteria; Pseudomonadales; Pseudomonadaceae. The record is from RNAcentral.